CCAACGGCCCUCUUUAGGGCCACAAUUGGAGUGAAAUAUAUGAGCU
Angiostrongylus cantonensis (rat lungworm) is the source of this 46-nucleotide non-coding RNA. The record is from Rfam. NCBI's taxonomy places the organism in Eukaryota, Metazoa, Nematoda, Chromadorea, Rhabditida, Metastrongylidae.